RNAcentral lists this ribosomal RNA (442 nucleotides) under uncultured bacterium. RNAcentral describes it as "partial 16S ribosomal RNA". It matches the Rfam family "Bacterial small subunit ribosomal RNA", at positions 338 to 795 of the family's 1533-position model. The record is from RNAcentral.
CCUACGGGAGGCAGCAGUGGGGAAUAUUGGGCAAUGGGCGAAAGCCUGACCCAGCAAAGCCGCGUGAAGGAAGAAGGCCUUCGGGUUGGAAACUUCUUUUGACAGGGAAGAGCAGAAGACGGUACCUGACGAAUAAUCCAUGCCUAACUAAGUGCCAGCAGCCGCGGUAAUACGUAGGUGGCAAGCGUUGUCCGGAUUUACUGGGUGAAACGGGCGUGUAGCCGGGCUGUCAAGUCAGGUGUGAAAUCCGGGGGCUCAACCCUCGAACUGCAUUGGAAACUGUUGGUCUUGAGUAUCGGAGAGGCAGGCGGAAUUCCUAGUGUAGCGGUGAAAUGCGUAGAUAUUAGGAGGAACACCAGUGGCGAAGGCGGCAUGCUGGACGACAACUGACGGUGAGGCGCGAAAGCGUGGGGAGCAAACAGGAUUAGAUACCCGAGUAGUC